CCUACGGGAGGCAGCAGUGAGGAAUAUUGGUCAAUGGCCGGAAGGCUGAACCAGCCAAGCCGCGUGAAGGACGAAGGUGCCAAGCAUUGUAAACUUCUUUUGUCAAGGGACAAAAUCAGGCUCGAGAGCCUGACCGAGGGUACUUGCAGAAAAAGCAUCGGCUAACUCCGUGCCAGCCGCCGCGGUAAUACGGAGGAUUCGAGCGUUAUCCGGAUUUAUUGGGUUUAACGGGUGCGUAGGCGGGCUGUUCAGGCAGCGGUAAAAGCCCGGGGGUCAACCCCGGCGAGCCGUUGAAACUGGCUGUCUUGAGAUGUCGAGAGGUAUGCGGAAUGCGCAGUGUAGCGGUGAAAUGCGUAGAUAUUGCGCAGAACUCCGAUUGCGAAGGCAGCAUACCGGCGGCGAUCUGACGCUGAGGCACGAAAGCGUGGGUAUCGAACAGGAUUAGAUACCCGGGUAGUC
This 459-nucleotide ribosomal RNA is filed under the name uncultured bacterium. RNAcentral's name for it is "partial 16S ribosomal RNA". It matches the Rfam family "Bacterial small subunit ribosomal RNA", at positions 338 to 795 of the family's 1533-position model. The record is from RNAcentral.